Molecule: ribosomal RNA, 467 nt
Filed under: uncultured bacterium
Lineage: Bacteria
Description: SSU rRNA
Rfam family: Bacterial small subunit ribosomal RNA
Source: RNAcentral
AGGACGAACGCUGGCGGCGUGCUUAACACAUGCAAGUGGAGCGACGAACCAGGGCUUGCCCUGGGGCAGAGCCGCGAACGGGUGAGUAACACGUGGGUUACCUGCCUUGAUGACCGGGACAACCCGAGGAAACUCGGGCUAAUACCGGAUGUGCCCGCAAGGGGAAAGGAAGCUUCGGCCUCCGCAUCAAGAUGGGCCCGCGGCCCAUUAGCUUGUUGGUGAGGUAACGGCUCACCAAGGCUUCGAUGGGUAGCUGGUCUGAGAGGACGAUCAGCCACACUGGGACUGAGACACGGCCCAGACUCCUACGGGAGGCAGCAGUGGGGAAUCUUGCGCAAUGGGCGAAAGCCUGACGCAGCAACGCCGCGUGAGGGAUGAAGGUCUUCGGGUUGUAAACCUCUUUCGAGCAGGGACGAUUGUGACGGUACCUGCAGAAGAGCUCCGGCCAACUACGUGCCAGCAGCCGC